RNAcentral lists this long non-coding RNA (622 nucleotides) under Mus musculus (house mouse). Its description in RNAcentral is "predicted gene 11008". The record is from RNAcentral. Lineage: Eukaryota; Metazoa; Chordata; Mammalia; Rodentia; Muridae.
GUUACAGUUGGGAAGAACAUACAAUUGAAGACCAUUUCCAAACUUCUAGAAGUCAUGGAAGCCUUUGCAGGAAGGAGUGACCUCCAAAGACAAAAGAUCAUACAGAAGAGAAAGUCUAUGAAGGCAUCUAAUGUUAUAAAGUCUUUGCAGCAAGCAUUGAUCUCCACGUAUAUAAAUGAACACAUACCAGAGAGGAACCUUUUAAAUGUAACCAACAUGGUAAAGCUUUUUCAAAAACCAAUAGUCUUUACAUACAUAAAAGAAUAUAUACUUGAGAGAAAUGCUUUGACUUUAACCAAUGUGGUUAAACUUUUUCAGAAAGCAGUCAUCAACAAAAUCAUAAAACAACACGUAUAGGAGAGAGAUUUUUGAAUGUUAGCAAUGUGCUUUUACACUUUUUUCACAAAACAGUGGCCUCAAAAUAUAUAAGUACGUGUUUGUACUGGAGAGAAACCCUAUGAAUAUCGGCAAUGUCCUGAAACCCUUCUACAUCACAAUCAUCUUCAAAUCCAUAAAGAACAUGUAGUGGAGAAAAAUCCUCUGAAUAUCACUAAUUAGGUAAAGCAGUUAUAAAGAGUCAUCUCCUAACACAAAAGUAUACACACUGGAUAGAAACCCAUGA